RNAcentral lists this ribosomal RNA (484 nucleotides) under uncultured bacterium. RNAcentral describes it as "partial 16S ribosomal RNA". It matches the Rfam family "Bacterial small subunit ribosomal RNA", at positions 30 to 507 of the family's 1533-position model. The record is from RNAcentral.
AUUGAACGCUGGCGGCAGGCCUAACACAUGCAAGUCGAGCGGAUGAAGGGAGCUUGCUCCUGGAUUCAGCGGCGGACGGGUGAGUAAUGCCUAGGAAUCUGCCUGGUAGUGGGGGAUAACGUCCGGAAACGGGCGCUAAUACCGCAUACGUCCUGAGGGAGAAAGUGGGGGAUCUUCGGACCUCACGCUAUCAGAUGAGCCUAGGUCGGAUUAGCUAGUUGGUGGGGUAAAGGCCUACCAAGGCGACGAUCCGUAACUGGUCUGAGAGGAUGAUCAGUCACACUGGAACUGAGACACGGUCCAGACUCCUACGGGAGGCAGCAGUGGGGAAUAUUGGACAAUGGGCGGAAGCCUGAUUCAGCCAUGCCGCGUGUGUGAAGAAGGUCUUCGGAUUGUAAAGCACUUUAAGUUGGGAGGAAGGGCAGUAAGUUAAUACCUUGCUGUUUUGACGUUACCAACAGAAUAAGCACCGGCUAACUUCGUG